CAUCCUCAGCCUUACUGCAGGGGCUUUUUGCCUGGAGAGUGCCCUGGCAUUGCUUAAGGAUAGAGGAGAAAGUAUUCCCUCCCCAGCAAGAGUCUGCUUUCUUGUGGGGCCUACAGAUUGAGCUGGCAGG
Molecule: small nucleolar RNA, 130 nt
Filed under: Castor canadensis (American beaver)
Lineage: Eukaryota; Metazoa; Chordata; Mammalia; Rodentia; Castoridae
Description: Small nucleolar RNA SNORA49 (ENSCCNG00000009644.1)
Rfam family: Small nucleolar RNA SNORA49
About the family: The snoRNA ACA49 has no identified RNA target. NB genomic sequence 1-nt different from published.
Source: Rfam by way of RNAcentral